This 297-nucleotide signal recognition particle RNA is filed under the name Saimiri boliviensis boliviensis (Bolivian squirrel monkey). Its description in RNAcentral is "Metazoan signal recognition particle RNA (ENSSBOG00000009247.1)". It matches the Rfam family "Metazoan signal recognition particle RNA". From Rfam's summary of the family: The signal recognition particle (SRP) is a universally conserved ribonucleoprotein. Lineage: Eukaryota; Metazoa; Chordata; Mammalia; Primates; Cebidae. The record is from RNAcentral.
GCCGGGCAUGGUGGCACAUGCCUGUAGUUCCAGCUACGCGGGAGGCUGAGGUGGGAGGAUCGGUGGGCCCAGGAGUUCUGGGCUGUAGUGCGCUGUGCUGAUCGGGUGUCCACACUAAGUUUGGCCUCAAUAUGGUGACCUCCGGGAGCAGGGGACCACCAGGUUGCCUAAGGAGGGGUGAACCGGCCCAGGUCGGAAACAGAGCAGGUCAAAACUCCCCUGCUGAUCAGUAGUGGGAUCGCGCCUGUGAAUAGCCACUGCACUCCAGCCUGGGCAACAUAGUGAGACCCUGUCUCU